UACAGAGGAGCCAAGCGUUGUCCGGAAUCAUUGGGCGUAAAGCGCGUGUAGGCGGUUCGGUAAGUCCGCUGUGAAAGUCGGGGGCUCAACCCUCGAAAGCCGGUGGAUACUGUCGGGCUAGAGUACGGAAGAGGCGAGUGGAAUUCCUGGUGUAGCGGUGAAAUGCGCAGAUAUCAGGAGGAACACCAAUUGCGAAGGCAGCUCGCUGGGACGUUACUGACGCUGAGACGCGAAAGCGUGGGGAGCAAACAGG
Molecule: ribosomal RNA, 253 nt
Filed under: uncultured bacterium
Lineage: Bacteria
Description: partial 16S ribosomal RNA
Rfam family: Bacterial small subunit ribosomal RNA
Source: RNAcentral